RNAcentral lists this long non-coding RNA (217 nucleotides) under Bos taurus (domestic cattle). RNAcentral describes it as "long non-coding RNA NONBTAT017147". The record is from RNAcentral. Lineage: Eukaryota; Metazoa; Chordata; Mammalia; Artiodactyla; Bovidae.
CAGGAUUUUGAAAAAACCUUGGGCUUUGGCAAGAGCCCAGGAGAGGAAGUGUCUGCAUCUGCUACAUUCUAGAAGCCUUCCCAAAGAGUCACUGUAAGGCAGCCAAGAGAACAGUGUAUUUCACUACUGUGUGGUUCUGGAGGAAACUUAGGAGGACUUCCAGCAUGUCAGUUUCUGUGGUGAUCUAUUUUUAUUGAUUCAAGUUAGGAGGAAAAUG